GUAGGCAACAGAUGGCAUUCAUCAUAGAAUGAAACUGAGCAUACCCCUCCCAGAGCCAUUUCCAAGGAUCCCCUCCUCCCUCCACCUCCUUUCCCCUUCCCCCACAUUAGGUCCCAGUCACCUAACCUCACGUGGAAAUAUCAGAGCCAGCAUGCCCUACACCCAGAGGUUUGGUUGACUUCAGAGAAACUUCCAGAGGCUAAGAGCACUGAAAGGAAUUAACCAGUGCAUGUGGGACUGAAUGAGCAGAGCAGUGAACUGAGACUGGGUGGGGACCCAGGAGGGGCAGACAGUGGAGUCCAUAUGCACUGUGAUUAGAAUAGCAUAACAAAAAUGUCCUGGAGCAGGGUUGAGCAGCAAAGGCUUUCCUCCCAUCACAGGGGCAGAUGCUCUCCCGAGUCACACAGCGAAAUGUCACCUUACUCAGUUUGCACAACAUCUUCAAUUCUCCCAAUGACUCUUAAUUUAUUCAAUCAGGGACCAAGCUAUCUCAUGCCAGCCUAGCAGAUGUACUACAACAGGCUGAGAAGAAUUCCUCCAGAGAAGCAAGUAGCAAAAAUCGGAGUUGUUGCUCUCUUAAGACUGAGCAGAGAGAAGGAUCAUAACUCUCAUGUCCCCACCCCUCCAUCAGAUUCUAGCUAAACAGAUGUUUUCCUGCUUUUUUUUAUUUUCUGCUUACUGACACCCCUUCUCAGUGACAUAUGAAAUAUGAAAUGUCAUGUAGUGUUGUGAGUUUGUACAAAUAUAAAGAAAUACCAGGGCAUACACAGUAACAAAAGGAAAGAUCCCAUUUGCAAAUAUCUGUGGUGUCUCCUUGUUCUGUAUUGAUACGUCGUAUUGAUAUAAAUUGGCUUUUCUUAAUAUAGCUUUACCCUCGUCAUGGUGGCAGUGUUGGGAUGUGCAUUAAAGUUCAUCU
Molecule: long non-coding RNA, 916 nt
Filed under: Bos taurus (domestic cattle)
Lineage: Eukaryota; Metazoa; Chordata; Mammalia; Artiodactyla; Bovidae
Description: long non-coding RNA NONBTAT018873
Source: RNAcentral